AGUGAACGCUGGCGGUAGGCCUAACACAUGCAAGUCGAACGGCAGCACAGUAAGAGCUUGCUCUUACGGGUGGCGAGUGGCGGACGGGUGAGGAAUACAUCGGAAUCUACUUUUUCGGGGGGGAUAACGUAGGGAAAAUUACGCUAGUACCGCAUACGACCUUGGGGUGAAAGCAGGGGAUCUUCGGACCUUGCGGGAUUGAAUGCUCGGAUGUCGGAUUAGCUAGUGGGCGGGGUAAAGGCCCACCAAGGCGACGAUCCGUAGCUGGUCGGAGAGGAUGAUCAGCCACACUGGAACUUGGACACGGUCCAGACUCCUACGGGAGGCAGCAGUGGGGAAUAUUGGACAAUAGGCGCAAGCCUGAUCCAGCCAUACCGCGUGGGUGAAGAAGGCCUUCGGGUUGUAAAGCCCUUUUGUUGGGAAAGAAAAGCAGCAGGUUAAUACCCCGCUGUUCUGACGGUACCCAAAGAAUAAGCACCGGCUAACUUCGUG
RNAcentral lists this ribosomal RNA (492 nucleotides) under uncultured bacterium. RNAcentral's name for it is "partial 16S ribosomal RNA". It matches the Rfam family "Bacterial small subunit ribosomal RNA", at positions 29 to 507 of the family's 1533-position model. The record is from RNAcentral.